RNAcentral lists this ribosomal RNA (253 nucleotides) under uncultured bacterium. RNAcentral's name for it is "partial 16S ribosomal RNA". It matches the Rfam family "Bacterial small subunit ribosomal RNA", at positions 524 to 776 of the family's 1533-position model. The record is from RNAcentral.
UACGGAGGGAGCUAGCGUUAUUCGGAAUUACUGGGCGUAAAGCGCACGUAGGCGGCUUUGUAAGUAAGAGGUGAAAGCCCAGAGCUCAACUCUGGAAUUGCCUUUUAGACUGCAUCGCUUGAAUCAUGGAGAGGUCAGUGGAAUUCCGAGUGUAGAGGUGAAAUUCGUAGAUAUUCGGAAGAACACCAGUGGCGAAGGCGGCUGACUGGACAUGUAUUGACGCUGAGGUGCGAAAGCGUGGGGAGCAAAAGGG